CCAACUUUCGUCGUGAGCGGUUCGUUCGCUACUUUCGCGCGCGUCUUGCGUUUGAAUAUUUUUGAAAAAGCGGUUGCCAUUAUAUGCAACUGCAUUCGUGCUAAAUCUCUGAGAACACUAAGAAUCGAAUUCGAAAAUCUUUUGAUUCAAAUCACAUAAACGAAACGUUUUUUUGUUUUGCGUUAAAGAAAAGUGCAGCCGCGAGUGCUCAAGAAUUCAUAUUAUUUUUUGUGGCAAGCAACAAGUGCGAACCAAAGAAACAGCCCGAAACGUGCUGCAAAUUAUUAUUGUUUUUAUGCGGUUUUUUUGUCGCAACACAGCUGUCGAAGAAAUAUAAAAAAACAGCAAAACAAAAGUGCAGUGACUUGAAUAAAAGAAGCGAUCGCCUCUAGAAUAGAAAAAAAGGAGAAAAUAAAAUACAGCAAAAGAAAGGAAAACAAAAGAAAGCAGGAAAAAGAAUAGAAACAGAACAGAACAGAAACAAGAACAACUCAUCAUCGUCGGCUCAAAAAAGGUGAGUAAUUCCAUCAUUUCGCUAAUCUUGAUUCGGAAAUCUUUUGGUAAGUGGGCUAACUGUUUUCAAGGGAAAGAAGCACAUCCAUUAAUCUUGGCAAAAGUUCCUGAUUCUCGGUUCCCCAAAAAGUGACUCAUGGUAGAACACUCGAUUCGAACUUCCCUCUCUCUUUCGCAGUUCCUUUCAUCUUUGUCUAACUGCAGUCCCUGCAUGACUAACAUCCACAUUUAUAAGUGAAGUACAGCUGGGGGAAAAAAAGAAAAACAAAAAAAAUAUUACCCGAAAAAAAUGAUAAAUGUAGUAAUAACAGAAACAAACAUUGAAAGUAUUAAUUGGGAUAUUGGUAUGCAUUCUGUUACUAAAAAAGCAAAAUAAAUUCGUUUUCAUAGUUUGGCAAACCAGAUCUUGUUCCAAAAAUAUUUUAAUAAUCUUCUGACAUAAGCUCAAAGCAUCACCCACUAAUAAUUUACCCUUAGCUGUGCUUUGCCGAUUCUCGGUUCUCGGUUUGUUUUGUAUCUCUGGCUUUCUGCUGCUUUUGGCCAUUUAUUGCCGGUCUGAAAAGAACUUGGCAAAGACCAAAACAAAUUUAUAUCUCUCGGAUACUGACUCAUCCGCUAGAGAUGGGGAGAUGAUGCAGCUGACAUCAGUGGAGCACACAGCAAUGCGAUGCGAUGACUGUUCGAGGGACUGACAGACCCAUCGACCCACCAACCGACCGAGUGGCUGACCUCUCUUCUCCCUUUUCUGCAGUUUUUAAUUAAAAAACAUUUUCGGAUUUUUAAGGGUAACCUUGCGACCCCGCCCUCGGUGCCGCCGGGUCACCCACAACAAAAUAUAUCGGCGAACAAAAUCGGGGGUACCACAUAAAAUAGACAAAAGCAUUGAAAAGUUCACAAAUUGCCUUUCACUUUUAUCAGUCAUGGCUACAAUUGAGGAGGAAAUGCAGAUACAGAUACAGAUUCGGCCCGUUCGCAUUAAUGGUUAUAGCCACCCGAUCCGCUGUUGGGUAAUGCCGGUCAGUUCACUCACCUUUGACCAUCCGCAGCCGAAGCCAUUUGGAUGAAGGUCCCCAGCUCUAUCUGCUCUCCCACUCCCACUCCCACUUUGUUUCUCCUCUCUUUCUACUUGUGCCCCAUCGAUCUUAUCAACUGACGAAUGGUUCGAUGCCCCACAAUCCGAAAUCUCAAAUGCCAAAUCUACAAUCCACUGGCCGCAGAAGAAACACACACGAAACGUGUUCAUAAUUUGUCAAACAAAAAAAUAAACAAUGCGAAGAUGCCUAUGAGAUGACACAAAGUCACAGUGGAACGAAUACUAUUUAUAGGGGUAAUAUGUACAAGAAGUAUGUAUCACAGUUUGAUACUUUAUUAAAUGGCAAUAGCAUAGGAUAAAUAUUGAUAUGUAAGUGAUUUAUUCACUAACAUUCCCUACAACUUACAUAAUUAUUGCCUUCUCGAACUUUUUUAAUAUGACUAUUUUAUUAUUCUUGAAUUUGCUGCACAGUGGAACAAAAAUCUGAAGAUAAUGAAAAAUCUUUUUUAAUUAUUCAAAAUGUUUUAUAAAAGAAACAAUUUUUUCUGAAUGUAUAUGUUUAACUCAAAAAGGUGCCAAUGAAUUCGCGCUCAAUUAUGAAAUUUCCUUAAAAAAGAAAUGCUAUUAUUAUUUAACAGUCAAACGUUUUUAGCACCACUGUGGUGCGGUGGUGCGUCAGUGGCGUUUUCGUUGCCGUCAGCUGUCGGCGGUUUCUUGAACUCAAACGGAUGUCAUCUUGCGCCUCGUUCUCUGCUCAUCAAACUUAAUUGGGCAUUCGGCGGCCACCGCACCACCCACUCACCCACCUUCGCCUUUUGCACCUUCCCCUCACAUUUCCCGUGCAAAAUGCAAAUUAAAUAUCAUUUAAUGCCAAAGUAAAGAAAAAUAUACGAGAAAUGUACGAAAAAUGUUACCUUGAACCUUCAAAAAGUUUGUUGGCAGCUAUAGCCAUCUUUUUCGACCCGCAGAUCGGCCAUCUCUUUCGGAUCCGGAAGUUUAGCCAAAUGUUAUUGUUGUGCCGGUUAUUUCAUAGCUUUUUAAAUGGUCCAAAGAUUGUGAUGAUUAUACAAAUAUGUGCAAACGAAUCUUUAAGUGUUAUUGUUUUUUUCGCUUUGUUUAUGAAUUUUCUUUCGAAGUCAAAACCAAAAUGUUUCUAUAAUUCAUUGGCGCUGGCGCUUUUCAUUUGCCAGUAAUCGGAAAGUGACUCAAAAUGCUUUAAUUUAAAAAUAAUUUGAAUGCAGAUUCAGCACACUGGACAGUGCAUUUCGGCAAAAUAUGUUUCGAUUUUAAAAGGCUAUUUUAACUUAUUUAUAUAUUUCAUAAAUGUAUUACCAAAAAAGCAAAUAUUUUUCAAAUUCAAUAAAAAUUAAUUUAAAAUAUUUAUAAUGCAUAUUUAAUUAAUAUUUAAGAUGAGAUGUGACAAACUGUUCCCAAUACUAUAUAUCUUCCCAUUUAAUGUUGAUACGUGCUUUGGUGAUCAAAAUAAAUGUUCGUAAUGGCGAUAAUUGUUGUUAAAUGCUUGCCAUGCGAAACAAUGAGAGCGAACUAAAGAACUAUAAUUUUGCGUCUUGCAUCUAUGGCUAAAGUGACUGUAUCUGGACAUCUGCAGCUGUAUCUGUAUCUGUGUAUCCGUAUCUGUAUCGCGACUUUAUAUGGCAAAGCAGCCAGCCAGCUGUAUGUUAAUUUGUUUGCUUUGUUUUGUCGCAUUUGCCAUUUCAUAAAGUUUCAUAAAUUAUUGCACAAUUAACCUUGAACGCGGAGCGUUUUUAGCUUCAAGGGGGAGAAUAUACGAUGUGAUGUGAUGUUUUUCCCUUCUUAAGUUUUCCUUUUGACGAUCCGCGAUCUGCGAUCUUGAGAACUCUGCGUUGGCCGUCGGUUCUUUUUGCCCUCAGACAUCGGCAGAUAACCCAUUUGACACUCGACUUUAUGACAGUUUGCGACUCAUUUAAAGCGUAUUAAGUUCUUGCUUUUUUCGCUUUUGCUUUCCACUGUUCUCUGUUUUUUGUUUUUUUCCGCUCCUAUUAUUUUUUUGUGCCCCACACUCAUUAUUAUUAUUUGUGCUUUUUUCUUGCGAACUCAGCGAAGGACUAAUGUCGAUUUUCCCUGGUUGUUCGCAUCAUCAAAUGGGUGUACUCGUGACCCCCACUAAUUUCAUCUGAAGGUUUCCUGGGCUUUCCCAAGAUGUUUGCUUUGUUUGUAUAGAUUUUCUGAGUGCAAUGAACAGUGAAAUUUGAUGUCGUGAAAAGACAGAGUUCGCUAUACGGAAGUUCACGCCGAUGAAGUGAUGGUUGUAUUAUACAUCGAGAAUAUUCUUAUCAACUUUUUAAAUAUAUGUUGUAGCGUUUUGAUGCGAUUUUGUGUAAUUGCCCAGCAACCAAAACCUUUGAGUUAUUUUUAAUAGUAUCUCCAAAAAAAAACAGAUACUUCUUAUAUAAUUUUUAGUUAAGUUGUUUGUUGUUGCUUCGAAAACUAAAAAAAAUGUGAUGACAUCAGCGGAAUACAAUUUCAGACGGACUGCUUACUUAUCCCAAUUAUUAUUUUCGAUUUUAUAUGGCUAUUCAAUUACUCCAUUUUCGAUAUAUUUUCCUGCUUUGGCAACUGCCGCCUUUUAUGUUAUUUUUAUAUAUUUCAGGCCUGAUCUUAAUUAGAUCCACUAACAUAUUGCUCUCCACGCAUUGGGAAACUUUUCUUUUUUCGAGCUUUGUUUUAUAUUGCGUUUCCCACUUUGUGAUGAUUGAUCGACUUUCUUACACUGACCCAAAAACGAAUAGUUUCAAAACAAAGUUCCAAUUUGCAAUAGUAAACUAAUUAGCUGAAAAAACGAGCAAAAUACAUAUAUCUGACGGAAUCAUUAGGACAAGUGGAAAAGUUUUUCUUUAAAAACCACAAAUUCCUCUUUUCAUUUUGGUUUUCUUACUUAUUUUGAUCUUUCUCAUAUGUAAAGUUUGUUUUGACUUAUGUUUGGCAUUUUGUUUGUGUAACCGAGAAUGUUUUACCCUGAAGUUAACAAAUCUGCAUAUAAUUGGUCUCUAAGGUUGGAAAGAAAGGGGUAGCUCGUAAAAGAGUCGGACUGCUGUGGUGACCACGCUUGGUUAGCUUUCCAUUCCAGAACAUCCUUUGAAGCGGAGUUCCGCUAUUGAUGAUGAUGGAUGUGGAAAGUGGAAAAGUCGAGCGCAAGAGAGGCGAAUUAUGGCAAAAAGAGAGGGCCCUAGCCUCCACACCCUUUCCCAAACACUCCCUUUUCACAACAAAUAAAUGCUGCACCCAUCAUUUGAACCUGCUCCAACCAAAAAAAAAAAAAAAAAAUAAACACAGCAACAGUGAAAGAGUUGCAGG
Drosophila ficusphila is the source of this 4882-nucleotide long non-coding RNA. RefSeq lists it as uncharacterized. NCBI's taxonomy places the organism in Eukaryota, Metazoa, Arthropoda, Insecta, Diptera, Drosophilidae. The record is from RefSeq and is a predicted model, not a curated record. The transcript is spliced from 2 exons.